UAUCAAGCGGUGUCUUCUCA
Molecule: non-coding RNA, 20 nt
Filed under: Arabidopsis thaliana (thale cress)
Lineage: Eukaryota; Viridiplantae; Streptophyta; Magnoliopsida; Brassicales; Brassicaceae
Source: RNAcentral